Mytilus californianus (California mussel) is the source of this 520-nucleotide long non-coding RNA. RefSeq lists it as uncharacterized. NCBI's taxonomy places the organism in Eukaryota, Metazoa, Mollusca, Bivalvia, Mytilida, Mytilidae. The record is from RefSeq and is a predicted model, not a curated record. The transcript has 3 exons.
UGUUAGAGGGGUCUAAAUACAGCACAAACAACAUUUUCCAAAAGACCAAAAGAGUGAAAAAGUAUAUUUUAACAAAACGCAUUUGACUAACAGGUCGAACAACAAAUGUUCUUAAACCCUGCUGACUGCCAUUGGCGAUUGCCAAAUAAACGGAUCACCGAUGUAAUAAAUGGAUCUUAAUUUUAAAUUUAAUACUAAACAGAAAACAAUAAACUUGCGGAGAAGAUGAUAUACCGCAAACAAAAGGUGCAAAGGUUUUUGUACACCAUAUCCGGAUUUCGACAAAUAAUGUCUCUUCAGUGAUGUUAGGAAUCGAAAAGGUAUUUGGAAAGCCCAACAAUUUACCUCAAUUUAGGAUAGACUCUUGAAUUUUGAGGAGUCAAAAUAGGAUGAACGGAUUAUAUAAACCCUACGGCAAAUAUAAUACAAGCCCAAACGAAAAAAUAUAAACAAGUCUAAAUUGAAAACAACGUUCAAACCUAUGAUUGCGUUGGAUAAAAACCGCAAUUUUUAUACGUGU